RNAcentral lists this long non-coding RNA (4567 nucleotides) under Equus caballus (horse). Its description in RNAcentral is "lncRNA (ENSECAG00000042596.2)". Lineage: Eukaryota; Metazoa; Chordata; Mammalia; Perissodactyla; Equidae. The record is from RNAcentral.
CCCCGGGCGGCGCGGGCGGGCCGGGUGCGGAGAGGAGGGAUGCGCGCCCGCCUCCCGCUCGGGUCUGCGUGUGCCACUGCCAGCGUUAGGGACCCCUGGCCCGAGUAAGGCUUCCGGAGCCUGGCUGAGCCCGGACAGACGCAGCCUGACGCUUUAAUAGGUUGCAGAGAGUGCAAAGGAGGGGAGGCCGGGGAAAGAGGGGGAGUGGCCCAGCGAGGCCGGUAGCUGCAAGGAGGUGGCGAAGGACCCUCCUUCUCUGGGGUCCUAGCUCCGCGGAGCUGGGAGCCUGGCUCGCUUUAACCCUUUGCAUUCCAAGUGAGAAGCGGGCUUCUCACUUAGAAGUAAAACGCGGUGGGCUCUUCCAGGGUUUUCCUCCUUACAUAGAGCCUAAGGGAAAAAAGAAGGGAAGGGAUGGGAAGGUAGAGGGGAUGGGAGAGGCUGUGCGACAUGGAUUUUCCCUACACUGCAGAAAUUCUUGUUUCCUAACUCCGGAGCCCCUCUGCGCCUCCGGAAGAUGCAGAGUGGAAAAGUACAUCCCGGGACGUGCAGGCUUUCCCAGGCAGAGAGGUUACCUGUGUUCCCAGAAAGGCAGCGGAUUUCUGGAGAGCGCCACAGGGAUGGGAAAAGACAGAGCUAUAUUGCUAAGCCUGACAGUGAUCUGAAAUAUCCCCUGAUUUUCAGUCUGUUGGAAAUUUUCAGACCUCAAACUUGGCUGUCAAAAACUGACUUAAAAAUUUAACACUUAUGUGGAUAAUUUCUCCUUUCUCCCUGGCCUAUUCGAGGACCCUCCUCCUUCACCAAAACGCGCCCAUGUAACGUACCUUGUUCAGCUCUUGGUCAUAAAGUUGUCCUCAGCCUGUCUGUGUGGUCCCGGAGGGUCGGUGGCGGGCAGUUUCCAAAAUUGAGUCCCCCCUCCCCGGAUACCGGAAAGUCUCUUCUCUUUUUCGUAUCAAAAAAAGCCCGGUGAAGACUCUGCAGAACCCAGGAAGCGCAGAAUCGGGAGAAAGUCUUUGGCUGGGGCUGGUUCAAGACCCUGCUUCAAUGGGCUGCUGGAAGCCAGGACUGGGUAAUUCUUUCCAGACGUCUUGACUUCUCCUUGCUCGCUGUUGUUGCCUUUCUGCCUCCUCCAACUUAAGGGGGUCUUAACAAGGUUCCUCUGAGGUUGGACUUCUUUCGCGCUCGAUAGGCCUUGAAAACUGGGUUCCUGCUCCUUAUUACAUAUCUGGGACAAUAAUGAACAGGUCAAAACAGAAAAGUCGAGUAAACUGGGAGCGAUGCUUUUCAACACGUCGCGCAGGGUGUAGUGUUGGGGGAUGUGAUUUGAGGGCAAGAAUUUUAUUGCAAUACUAGGUAGUCAGCCAGCCCGGUCCCCGGGGGCCGACCUGCAAAGUACUACGCGUUUCCGCCCCCCGACCCCCCCACAGCGGUUACACCUCUGGGAAGCAUUACCUUGCCUGAUGACUUCACACUGCUCGGGGAAACCCACUUACUAAUUCUCCCCUACAAACCUUCAGGGCUUCAGCCUUUGUUUGAACCCUGCCUUAGGUGGUUCAACUCUUGAGAAACUGGCUUAAGUUUCAGAGCACAAUUUCAUCCACUUAAUCAGACUCCUGCUUCUUGAUUUUUAGUUGUACGGUAGUUUUUAAAUGCUAACCUGUAAUUUAAAAUAUAUUGUCUAACUGAUGUACUCUUACAUAUAAUGUGGAUUAAACUGAUUUAGGGGGAGGGUGGACAUCAUGGAGUGUCAAGUGUCUGGCUGUGGGACCCCACAGGGGCACUUAACAUCCACUCUAAACUUCCAUGAAUAUUAUAUGUAAUGCAGGCUUGCUGAUUAUUGCUUAGUAGUGCUUAACUGUUCCUGUGCUAAUGGUUCAAGCAGUGAAAACAUUUAGUAAAACUGUGUUUCUUUAUUAAUCAAAAACACAUUUGUUGUUUGUUCCCUUGAACUUGUAAUUCAUGGCCCAUAAAGCAAAAGCAAAAUAUUUCCUCACUGCGGAUGAAUGUAAAAGCUAAUUACAUAUCCGUGCAUUUCUGUCAGUUUCUCCCCCAUCCCCCAAGAGAAUGGGAAAGAGGCUAGAGGUGAAAGUUUACAUUUAAAUUCAGGGGUGAAGCAGAAUACUGUAUCAAUCAGAUUUUCUUAGGCAGGGCAUCCAGAAUAAGAGAUUGAAUAAAUUCAAAUCCCACCUUUGAUGAGGGAUUGUUUGUGUGUUCCUGGAAGCAUAUUUUACCUCUCUAGACCUUUAUUUCCUAGUUGAUAAAUGGAGAAAAUACCUGCUUUACAAAGUUGUUAUGAUGAUAGAACGUGUGAAACUAUGUUAGGAGAUUAGUAGAGUGCCUAAGCUCUACUCUUAGGUAGAGCUUCCUAAUGUAACUUAGCGUUUCCUAAUUUAACCAUUGUCGCUAUUCAAAAACAUUAGUACCCUUCUCCUGGUUUUCUAUUUGUUAUAUUAUUCUUGAUAGGCAUUAACUGGAGUUUCAUCCUGGGCUCAUUUGUUUGACCUACUUCAGCUUCCUACUGUCCCCUCACUGUCUCUCAUAGAUUGAAUUAUUCUAUGUGCCCAUGAAUACACCCCAAACCUUUACGUUUAACCAAAAUUCCUUUCUGGAUUCCAGGCCUGAAUUACGGCUACUAGCCAUCUAGUAUUGAUUAAUAAGCAUCAUAUUUGGAGACGGGAGAUUCAGUUUCACCAACAAGCUAUAGCUUGUUUCAACCAAUUGAAUAACAUACGAUUGUCAAUUUCAAUUUUACCUUUCUAUUUUAAACAUAAGCUGUUUGGAUCAGAAGAUGACAGAUGUUUCAGGUUUUGACAUCCUAAGACAUACUUCUCCAACCUACGCUUGUUAUGGUUUCAACUAUCCAAGACAACAUAGCGAAGAACUUCAGAGGUAGGAGCUUGACCUGAGUCAACGUGAGUCUGCAGCAUGCUCUUGCUAACCUCCUUCCCACAACACAGAACAAGUGUUCACCUGUCUGAGAGACCAAGUUUCCAGAAGAAGGAUUCAGUACCUUCAUACUUCUCUGUGUAAAUGGUUCUCAAACUUUUUGGUGUGAAGUCCCUCUAUACGCUCUUAAAAAUUGUUGAGGACUUCAAAAAACGUGUUUAUAUGGGUUAUAUCUAUCAAUAGACCAUAUUAGAAAUAAAAGCUGACCAAAAAAGUUUUAGAAUAUUUAUUAAUUAAUUUAAAAUAAUAAUAAACGCAAGGACUUGUCACCAUUUUUGUGAAAUGUGGCAUUGUUUUCCAUUUUUGCAAAUCUCCACUAUCUGGCUUAAUAUAAGACAGUUGGAUUCUCAUAGCUGCUUCAUCAUUCUAUUGUUUUGAUUGAAGUAUAUAAAGAAAAUCUGGCUUCAAACAGAUACAUAAUUGGGAAAUAGAGAAGUAUUUUAAUAGUCUUUUUAGAUAGUCUUCUGUGAUACUAUGUCAAAACUUGACAAAUAAUAGUUUUUUUAAACUUAAGUUGUAAUGGUGGAUCUAAAACAAUAGGAAUGAGCUUUUUGUACUCUGUUACUUAAAAUCUCUUUAUCUUAUACUUUAAAUGCAUCUUUUACAACCAUUCAUGCAUUUUAAUGUCCUGUAUCAUUUGUAUUGAUUACUAAGUUAGGCAGAUUUUCCGAAUGUUGAUAUAUUUCAUUAAAAAAACUCACAAUCAUUAAAAUCACCACCAGUCUCAUCCAAAGAGUCUUCAAAUAUUGAGAAGCUGUCACGGUCAUGGUGGCAAAUAAAGUUUUCCAAAAUUCUAAUUUUCUCUUGAAAGCUCAGAUAUUUCCAGUAGCAGCAAAUACUGUCAGUUGCUUUCACUGUAGCCACAAGUUCACUUCACUCAUAUUUCAAAAAAAUGAAAUGUCUUCCAAAUACCCAAGUCUGAUUAAUAGUAGUUUGUCAGUUGUUCUUUGAAGUAAAAAUGAUAUCCCAUGAUAAAAGUGGCCAGCUCAGCUCAGAACUCAGUCAUGUGAAAGCUCUUCUUCCAGUCAACCAUGUAGUUUCUUGUACAGCAAGCUGUGUACUUUUCAUUUCUUCACAGAAAAUAUUAGAAAGACGUGUUCUCAAGGGUUGACACAAUGAAAUUAAUCAUUUUUACUGCUUUAUCAAAGAUUUUCUUAAAUGAAAUUUGCUUUUUAUUUCCCUGUGAGUGCAUGGGGUAAAGAAUACAAAGACUGAUGGUACUUACUUACGGUACUUAUACAAAGUUUGAUGCCACUACCUGUUUCAUGCUAAGGUACUAGCAGCUUUAUUCACCAUUACUUUUGCACCAUCAGUGUAAAUGUCCACAAACUAAAAAAUGCAGAUGAUUUCUAGAAUUAUUAUAAAAAUAGUGUUGAUCUUACUAAUCCCUUGAAAGGGUCUUGGGGUCCCCAACGGUCUACAGACCGACCACACUUUGGAAAGAAUAGGGUUAUAUUAAGCAUACCAAAAGUAGCAGUACAAAUCUGAGGGUUUUACUUUAAGAAGAACAUCCACAAACUAUUGCACAUUGAGAAGAGAUCUAGCAGUGAGAAGAGGAAAGGCAAUAGUAAUCCUGUCAUAUGACUAUGACUAUAGGAAAUAGAAAUGCUUAGGAUGACAGGAG